Molecule: ribosomal RNA, 407 nt
Filed under: uncultured bacterium
Lineage: Bacteria
Description: partial 16S ribosomal RNA
Rfam family: Bacterial small subunit ribosomal RNA
Source: RNAcentral
AUUGAACGCUAGCGGGAUGCCUUACACAUGCAAGUCGACCGGAGUGGCGAACGGGUGAGUAAUGUAUCGGAACGUGCCCAGUAGCGGGGGAUAACUACGCGAAAGCGUAGCUAAUACCGCAUACUAUUGGCGCGGCCGAUCUCGGAUUAGCUAGUUGGUGGGGUAACGGCUCACCAAGGCGACGAUCCGUAGCUGGUUUGAGCGGACGACGAGCAAAACUGGGACUAGGCAACGGCCCAGACUCCUACGGGAGGCAGCAUGGGGGAAUUUUGGAAAAGGGAGGAAACCCUGAUCCAGCCAGCCCGCGUGUGCGAUGAAGGCCUUCGGGUUGUAAAGCACUUUUGGCAGGAAAGCGGUACCUGCAGAAUAAGCACCGGCUAACUACGUGCCAGCAGCCGCGGUAAUAC